This 253-nucleotide ribosomal RNA is filed under the name uncultured Pseudomonas sp. RNAcentral's name for it is "partial 16S ribosomal RNA". It matches the Rfam family "Bacterial small subunit ribosomal RNA", at positions 99 to 354 of the family's 1533-position model. Lineage: Bacteria; Pseudomonadati; Pseudomonadota; Gammaproteobacteria; Pseudomonadales; Pseudomonadaceae. The record is from RNAcentral.
CGGACGGGUGAGUAAUGCCUAGGAAUCUGCCUGGUAGUGGGGGACAACGUUUCGAAAGGAACGCUAAUACCGCAUACGUCCUACGGGAGAAAGCAGGGGACCUUCGGGCCUUGCGCUAUCAGAUGAGCCUAGGUCGGAUUAGCUAGUUGGUGAGGUAAUGGCUCACCAAGGCGACGAUCCGUAACUGGUCUGAGAGGAUGAUCAGUCACACUGGAACUGAGACACGGUCCAGACUCCUACGGGAGGCAGCAGG